This 165-nucleotide small RNA is filed under the name Desulfuribacillus alkaliarsenatis. RNAcentral describes it as "Magnesium sequence". It matches the Rfam family "M-box riboswitch aptamer (ykoK leader)". From Rfam's summary of the family: M-box riboswitch, also know as ykoK leader is described as a metaloregulatory RNA that sense divalent metals and function as a genetic control element of genes related to divalent metal transport in bacteria. It was first reported upstream of the B.subtilis ykoK gene and genes with related functions in other bacteria. The record is from Rfam by way of RNAcentral. Lineage: Bacteria; Bacillati; Bacillota; Desulfuribacillia; Desulfuribacillales; Desulfuribacillaceae.
AAUACACCUCGUUAGGUGAGGCUCCUAUACGGAGAUACGCUGCUGCCCAAAAAUGUCCAAAGACGCCAAUGGGUCAACAGGAACGAUCGACAUAAGGUCGUUUUUAAUGUAGCUGGAUGUUAUCCUAUGCCGUAUAGUGCUAAAGCUCAACGAUGGAGGGAACAG